Molecule: ribosomal RNA, 497 nt
Filed under: uncultured bacterium
Lineage: Bacteria
Description: partial 16S ribosomal RNA
Rfam family: Bacterial small subunit ribosomal RNA
Source: RNAcentral
GAUGAACGCUGGCGGCGUGCCUAAUACAUGCAAGUCGAGCGAACGGACGAGAAGCUUGCUUCUCUGAUGUUAGCGGCGGACGGGUGAGUAACACGUGGAUAACCUACCUAUAAGACUGGGAUAACUUCGGGAAACCGGAGCUAAUACCGGAUAAUAUUUUGAACCGCAUAGUUCAAAAGUGAAAGACGGUCUUGCUGUCACUUAUAGAUGGAUCCGCGCUGCAUUAGCUAGUUGGUAAGGUAACGGCUUACCAAGGCAACGAUGCAUAGCCGACCUGAGAGGGUGAUCGGCCACACUGGCACUGAGACACGGUCCAGACUCCUACGGGAGGCAGCAGUAGGGAAUCUUCCGCAAUGGGCGAAAGCCUGACGGAGCAACGCCGCGGGAGUGAUGAAGGUCUUCGGAUCGUAAAACUCUGUUAUUAGGGAAGAACAUAUGUGUAAGUAACUGUGCACAUCUUGACGGUACCUAAUCAGAAAGCCACGGCUAACUACGUG